AUCCUCCCACGCAUGUAUUUUUAUGUGCAACCUGUGAAAUGCCUGUAAUUCUUAGGGUGAUUCACUGGUUCAAGUUUGGGAAAUAUAUAAGGGUUUAUAGAUGAUUAUAUUAAUUGAAUAGUCGGAUGACCUUUACUGUAGAGGGGAAGUUGGGUAAUGAGAUGGUGCCGGUUGGAUUUGUGUUGCGCGCAUGUUAUAAAGCAGGUCAUGUGUAUUAUUUAAUAGUUACUGCAAUGUCUUUUUCAUGAUAGUGAAAGGGAACACGAUUUGGCCGCACUGCAUUACCUACCCUGUGUGCCAAUUAGACCUUUUGUCGGCUCUUUGGAGUCUCUCGAAGUGUUUUUUCUUUCUUUGUUUUUUCAAAGGAAAAGAAAAGACUGAGAGCUAUUAGUAUAAUUUUUAAUAGAAG
This 409-nucleotide long non-coding RNA is filed under the name Carica papaya (papaya). RNAcentral's name for it is "long non-coding RNA (CPAP_LNC008151)". The record is from RNAcentral. Lineage: Eukaryota; Viridiplantae; Streptophyta; Magnoliopsida; Brassicales; Caricaceae.